CGUGGUGGGAGUGUUUACACCAUGAAAAUUGGCAAACACUUACAAAAUCAGGCUUUUUCUCCCAGAGAGCUGGUCGCUAAACAUUUAUAAGCUCAGUAUACAGUAUAACCAAGUCUUUGUGCACCUGGGUCAAACCCAGAUGUAACCAAGGAUGGGAAAAGGGACAUGGCAAAUCCGAACUAUGAAUGAAACCGUGGUGCUGAGACAAAACAGAAACAGGACGUGUUGGUACAAGCAAAUGAAAAAAUCCAGGGCCUAACACACUACGUCUAUGCCUGGACAUGACCGCUUCUAAAAGCACUGUGAAAACCGUUCCAAAAGAUACUCGAGACGUAAGCAGACCAUUGCCGGGCCAGC
Molecule: long non-coding RNA, 357 nt
Filed under: Delphinapterus leucas (beluga whale)
Lineage: Eukaryota; Metazoa; Chordata; Mammalia; Artiodactyla; Monodontidae
Description: lncRNA (ENSDLEG00000018720.1)
Source: RNAcentral